CCUACGGGAGGCAGCAGUAGGGAAUCUUCCGCAAUGGACGAAAGUCUGACGGAGCGACGCCGCGUGAGUGAUGAAGGUCUUCGGAUCGUAAAACUCUGUUGUUAGGGAAGAAUAAGUAUAAGGCGAAUAACCUUAUACCUUGACGGUACCUAACCAGAAAGCCCCGGCUAACUACGUGCCAGCAGCCGCGGUAAU
This 195-nucleotide ribosomal RNA is filed under the name uncultured bacterium. Its description in RNAcentral is "partial 16S ribosomal RNA". It matches the Rfam family "Bacterial small subunit ribosomal RNA", at positions 338 to 524 of the family's 1533-position model. The record is from RNAcentral. RNAcentral also lists the same sequence under 2 other names.